UUUAAGGUUCCCGUGCCGAGUGUCGGGCAGUAUUGCUGGCUCCUUCCCGGUGGCCUGGAGAGGGGAGGGAAGGGGAAAGGAGGGGGGGGGGCCGAGAGACCUGGCAGGGCGAGCGGACCACGCAGGUGAACCGGCCGGAGACGUACCACGGCCCGUGCGUAUCCCAGCCAGACCGGACGGCCCCCCUGCUGGUGCCAUGCUAGGACUUGUUUUUCUUGUCGUUUGUCACUGAGACUGGAAUACUUUCUGUGCCAGGCGAGAGAACAGCCCCUGGAGAUGAGAAAUAACGGGUAAAAGAAAGGCUAAACCCAAGCUGUGGGGAAGUGAGCUCGCACAGACCGAGUACUGAAAGAUAACAGCCGAGGAGGUGUGUUUGUGGAAAGGCGGUCACGGUUUCAGUUGUGUCAUUCCCCCCCCCACCCCGGCUGCGACCUGAACGGACCGGUUUGGUCCGGUGACCCCUGACUGACGGGUGAGGUCAUAGCGGUCUUCUGUCAUGAACUCUGGUUCAAACCACCUUAGGUGACUAACAGGUGACAACACCACCCCGCCGCGGUUCGUCCGGCUUGGUCGGGCGUGUCUGCGGGGUGGGAAGCCGGAUGUGGGUACGUGUCCUGGUCGCUCCUCUGGUCGGUCGGGGCUCCUGUUCGGGGGGGGGGUGGUGUGAUCCUCCCACGCGCUACGUCUCCCCCUGGCGAAACUCCUCACCGUCGGGUGAAAAGAAGCGGCUGGCGACUCCACAUGUAUGGGAGGAGACAUCUGGUAGUCCGCAGCCCUCCCCGGAUCGGCAGAGGGGGCGGAGCAGCGACCGGGACUGCUGGGAAGAGUGAGGUGAUUGGCCAAGUACAGUUGGGGAGAAUCAAAGAUGACUAAGAGGUGACAUCAUCCUUCCACCACCUUUCUUUAGAAAUGGGGAAGGCCACGGGCCGUUCAAACUCACCCUGUUGUUCAAUAAUGUUCCUGUCGCUGGUGUAAACUGCUGGUGUCGACCUCAGAUGGUCCGAUUUUGAUUCUGUGUCUUCAUAUGAUCAAUAGCUACAUGUUUUUGGAGCGCCUUUACUGUCAUUGUGUGUGACUUUUGAGGGACGAGACGCUCGGACGGCGGAAGGCGGGUGGACGAAGGCCGCACACGAGAAGUGCUCUGCCAUGAGAACUGAAUUCCAUAGAUGGCGGCUCCUUCAGGUGGACAUCUAUGGACUCAGUUCUUUUGCUAUGGUGCCUGGUGAUCGUCGCAGCUGCAGAAGAUGGUCCACCGGAACGCCUCCCUGCUGCGCUUGGACCGCCGCCACCAGCUCCUACAGUCACACAGCGGUGUCGUGAUUCACCUUUAGACGACGAGGAAGCUGCGUUCAAACAUGAGCGCAAAUAUUGUGACGUCGUUGUUAUUGCAUAAGUCCAGCACAUUUUUGAUUUGCUUGUCAGAAUAACGUCCACUGGUGGUGCAGAUGUUUACAAGCUGUUGCUAAAUAAACAUAAUUACAACAAA
Molecule: long non-coding RNA, 1486 nt
Organism: Lampris incognitus (smalleye Pacific opah)
Lineage: Eukaryota; Metazoa; Chordata; Actinopteri; Lampriformes; Lampridae
Exons: 2
Source: RefSeq, a predicted model, not a curated record